CAGCUGGCUCUAUAAAGGCUGUGAGCCAGAAGCAGAGAGAGACCACUCUCUAGGUUCCUCUAGCUCUGAGAUGGAGGGACCUGGCUGCAAAGACCUGAAUAGAGGACCUAGUCUGGAGCAGGAUUGGGGAAAGGCCAAGGGAGCUGGGGAGCUCCAGCCGAGGAAAGCCCCAGGCAGCAGGCCUGGUGCUGUAUUGAGAAUUGACAAUGAAAAUAUGUCUGUCACUACUGUGAAUGGAAAACUGUCUCUUCUGAAAAGUAAAUACAUUCAAAAUUUCUAUCACACCCUUUCAAUGAGUAAAAGAUGGAGUGGGUGUAUGCAUGUCUGUGCACAGACAGUUUCAGAAUUACCACUGCAAGAAAUAUGGGUCUCUUCUGCUCGGUUAUCACAGGACUGCUGUUUCCAUAUGCCUGAUGGGCACUGCCAAAGGGACCUGUGCUGUUCACUGCAUACAACGUGGUCCAGCCAUGUGGGACCAGAACCUGCUCCAUAUGCCAAGUCUCUUGCAACCUGCCCUCUAUCCCCACAGUUCAGUUGUUUGCAGACAAUUGCUGGGGUGACUCCAGACAUCUGAUUGGAGCAAACACUGCCCCACGUCCCAUUGUAGAAAACCUCCAGCCGCCCAGCACAAUCACGGUCGCUCACCAGCCUCAAAUCCGUGAAUUCUAGAAGGAAGUGCACAAAAAGGGAAUUUAAAUCGUCUGAUUCUGAAAUGAACUGGUGUGAAGAGUGAAAUCCCAGCGAUUGCUCAUCCCAAAAGUAUAGCCACAUCAUUCUGCAGGAGCAAGUGUCAGAGAGAAUCACUCUAAGAAUGAGAUACUCUCCUGGACACCAUGAGACUAUUAGAAAUAUAAUGAUCACCGCUGAAAAGUCACCAGUUCCCAGCAGUUACACACACAGACACCUGCAAUACAGCAGUGACUACCCUGCCAACACUAGAGAAAUGCUGCGAUAUCUUCAAUACUCCUGGGUGGGAACCGAUGGGAAAUGGUGACUUUCUAAUCAUGACCCCAGUAGGUAGGUAGAGGAGUAGAGUGACCAUAUUUUCUCAAAGGGAAAACG
Chelonia mydas (Green sea turtle) is the source of this 1062-nucleotide long non-coding RNA. RefSeq lists it as uncharacterized. NCBI's taxonomy places the organism in Eukaryota, Metazoa, Chordata, Testudines, Cheloniidae. The record is from RefSeq and is a predicted model, not a curated record. The transcript is spliced from 2 exons.